CCCUCCAUAUCAAUCCACGCAGUUCCAACCUCCACUCCUUCGUGGCACCCUCGUGGACGCAAUCGUAACCGUCUAUCUUCCCUCAAAAUGCCUACACUACGAAACCCUUGCACCCCUCCCUUUUCAAAUCUCCUUUCAAAUAAACAGAUAGGGAGAGAAAAUAUAAACAGACGAGGUGAUAACUGAGAGAGCCCAAGGAGAGAAAUCCUAAUUCUCUUAUUUCUGCGUUCUUCCUUUGAAUUCCAUUUCUUUUUGUUUUUGUUUCUGAGUAAUUAUGGUGGAGAGGUUGGUGAUUUGGUCGCCGGCGGAAAUGGCGUUGGUGGGGUACGUGAGCUGGGAGGAGGUGAAUGUGUCGAGCGAUAAAGGAAGGAGAGAGGUGAAGUAUUACCUGAAGAAAAACGACGGUGGAAUAGAUCUGGCUAUUAUAGGGAAAGAAAAGAGCUUGAGGCACAUGUCUUAUUAUUUUGCAAUUAGUAUUCGGUCGAAUUUUUAUUCCAUGACCCCCCCUGUGAAGCUCAAGUCCAGAAGAGAGGUUAUUGAUUGGCUCAAUUCAAUUGUUUCAGGUUCACUUCCUCAUGAACCCUCCAUCCAAGCAGGUUCCUUGGAUAACAGUGAUGCUUCUCGGUUGGAUAUGGAAACGUUUAAGGAUAAUCAGUCGCAGAAGCUGGGGCAUUAUUAUUCAGAAUUUUUGUGGUUAGGUUCUCCAUGGACUUGCAGGAAAAGAAAGAAGCAUUAUGAGUCUUUUUGCAGGAACGGUGUCAAAAUUUCAGUUCAUGACUUUGUUUAUGUCUUAGCUGAGGAGUCUAAACGACUAGUUGCUUACCUGGAAGACCUGUAUGAGGAUUCAAAAGGGAACAAAAUGGUUAUGGUACGCUGGUUUCACAAAAUUGAUGAGGUUGGUAUUGUUUUGCCUCACAAUUUUAAUGACAGAGAGAUUUUUUUUUCUCGUUGUCUUCAAGAUCUCAGUAUCGAAUGCAUAGAUGGAUUGGCCAUCGUCCUGAGUCCUCAGCAUUUCAAGAAGUUCCUAAAUGAGGCCGUACGUACUAGGUUCAAUCCCUUUGUUUGCUACAAGCAGUUUGACAAUGAAGAAGUCACACCCUUUGAUAUUACUCAAGUUGAAGGAUACUGGAGCCAGGAAAUUCUUAGGUAUUUGACCAUUCCUACUUCAAAUUAUCUGGCAAAUUCCCAGCAUCCAUUCAGUGGCUCGAGAGGGGAAGGAAAUGAUAAUGAUGCUAGUAGGAUGAGACCUAAGAAGAUGCUUCGCCGAUCAAAAGACAAUGAUGGUGUUUGCACUGGCAGCAAAGAAUUGUUGACUGCAAGGUAUAUAAACAUGCAAAGCUUUCAUACUAGUAGGGUUGAUGGCAAAACUGGAUAUGCCUUUUUGUCCACAGCAGAGGUUAUGCAAAAUCCUCCUCAAAGUCUAAAUGUUAGUUCUGAAGUUGAAGUGCUAUCUCAGGACAGUGGGAUUAGAGGUUGUUGGUUCAGAGCUUCAAUAAUUAAGAAGCACAAAGAUAAGGUGAAGGUGAGAUAUCAAGAUAUUAGCGAUGCAGCUAAUGAAGCCCAGAAAUUAGAGGAAUGGGUUUUGGUUUCUAGGGUUGCUGCUCCUGACCAAUUGGCUAUCCGGAUUAGUGGAAGGACUGUUGUCCGGCCCACGCCCCAGUUCAAUAAAGGCCAAAUGGCAUCAGUUGCUGAUGUUGGGACUGCUGUAGAUGCUUGGUGGAACGAUGCUUGGUGGGAAGGCAUUGUUGUCCAUAAGGAAACUGAAGAUAGAAUUCAUGUUUUCUUCCCAGGAGUAAAGAAGGAAUCAGUUUUUUGCUGUUCUGACCUGAGACUUUCCCUAGAAUGGUUGGGAAAUGCGUGGAAACAUAUCAAGGAAAGGCCAGAUAUUCUGUCACAUUUAUCAUCCUGCUUGGAAAGAAAGCAAGUAACUUUCAUAUCUGAUGAGAGCAAAUUGGCCGAAGUUGCCAUUCCUGGUUCCAGGCAGUCAGGAAAGGCCAACCCUGAAUGUGGCGAUUAUCCUUUCGAAAGUAGACUUGAUAUGAGAAAAGAGGUGAAGGCGCUUCCAGAUCUUUCGAAGGAUAAGUUGCUUGCCCAAUUGAGGUGGAGCUCAAUAAAGAAGAGAAGACGUGGUAGUGGGAGUUCUGGCCAUAAGAUGCAUCACAACAAUAACGGUGGUCUAAGGUUAUCAGAAGUUGUUGGAUCCAAUGCAGGUGAAAGAUUUCUGAUUCCAACUUCCUUGAAAGUUGAUCACGAGAACUGCAAGUACAUGGGGGAUUCUCUGUUUACUUGUGCUGUUGUGCAGCCUCUAACAGGCUUGGUUAUGUCUAGAUGAUCGAUUCUUUGUUAUUAGGACAUCUCAAGCAGAUGUUACGUUUCAGUCUUUUACAGAGGUAUAUGUCUAGAUAAUAGGGUUCAAUGCCUAUGAUAGAUUUCUAAUGUUGAUGACCUCGAAAGUGGAUUAAGAGAGCUGCUAUACAUCUGGGGUUUUUCUCUAUUAAGAGCCUCUAAACAAUACUGGUUAUAAAUCUAUAGGAUAGGCUUCGUAUUGUUGGGAUGUGGAAGAGUUGACAUCCAUCUCUCGAAGUGGAACAUAUUUCCAUGGUGCUUCCUGUUCUUGAGAAGAGAUGGCAUCCAAGCUCUUCUUCACCGGAGCUAUGUAUUUGUAUCUAACAGUAUCUGCUGGGGACCGUGAAUAUCAGGCAGCAACAUUGGAUGGCCUUAUAGAGUUUUAACCCCUGCAUGCACUUGUACCUUUCAAAGACUUGCAGGAUGAUUUCUGCUUUUGAUCUGUAAUCUAUUAUCUCUGGUUUGAUCUUUCUGUUAAUUUCAUCAUCAAUACUUUGGAUGGGGUAACAACAUCUGUUAAAGAGUGCAAGGCUGCAAGCUGUUGAGCCCAGGGCGGUAAAUUCUGGGCAAUUGGAAUAUAUUUGCUCGGUCGAUCUAUGGAAAACCACAAGCCACUUGCUUGAUUUGGCCAAUCCAGUUGUGUAGCAUCAAAGUUGCCGAACAAUCAAAUCAAGUCGGUAAAAACUUUCAUAUGUUUAGCCGUUAAAUGUUUGACUGUUUUGGUAAAGAACAUAAACUUUACUGGCUUUACUAGCGGAGCAGUGACAAGCUCGAGCAGGAGACCCAUCGAACCUUAUAUGAGGUCUCACUCUGUCUAAAAACUCAGCUUCUAAUGGCUCGCUGCAGCUUGCCAAGUUCUUCAUUGACACGACUCUUUAAUUGAGCUUAAUAAAAGAUUAUAGUACUAAUGCAGGUGUUUGGUCUCAUAAGCAAGCUACAAAGAAUAAUUCAAGAGGAGAAAGUUUAGAAACAGUGUUUUGUGUGGGCCUGCCUCAGUGAAUGAAACAUCUUUGUCAACUAAGCCCUCAAGGCCCCCUUUCACUUCACUAGGCUUUGCAACCUGUUCCAUCUUCAUUCCUUGUUCUCUCUUCAUUCCUUGUUCUCCGACAAUUGAAGCAUCUUACAAGUCGGGCUCGCUCUAUCAGUACAGCAGAAGCUGUUACUAGAUCUUUUUCAGAUCAUUUUCUAUCUCCAUCUUUCUUUCUUUCUCAGUGCAAGAUGGGAUUGAACUUGUUACCUUACUUUCCUAUAUGAGUAUCUUUGCUGCACGGCCUCAGUAGGAGAUGCCCGGAAUUGGAGUCAAGAAGUCAAAUAACAUGCUAUAUUCUGGAACUGGCCUUGCCUCUGUUGAAUCCUUAACCUUGCCUCUUGUUUGUAGUUCAGGAAAUUGUUCUUUCAGCAGAUAUUCGAUGUGCAGAAUGUCAAAGGAGACUAGCUGACAUCAUGUCAAGAACGAACGGUAAGUAAGAUUUCUUGAAACUUGGCCAUUGAGAUGUUGAGCACCCAAAAAAAUGUAACAAAUUCUUAGGGAUCUUCCUGACUUCUAAAUAAUUGCUUUGGAUGUCCUUGCUUCUUUGGGAGCGCUUUCAAGGAAUUUUCUUGGAGUUACAGCGAUGGCUGAACUAAUGUUCGGACAUUGAUAUUGCUUUGUAAAAGUUGCUUCCGAAUAUAUUGUAAUCAGAUAGAUAAUUGGGCC
Molecule: RNA transcript, 4042 nt
Organism: Populus trichocarpa (black cottonwood)
Lineage: Eukaryota; Viridiplantae; Streptophyta; Magnoliopsida; Malpighiales; Salicaceae
Exons: 8
Source: RefSeq, a predicted model, not a curated record